UCACGAAUUUAUCUGAAGUUCUGAACGAAAACAGAUAUCUUCCUUGACUUCACGAUUCAAUGACAGUAUUAGCCACUCUGCCUGUCGCCAGUGUGAGCACCGGAGCUCGGUUUCCCUGCGAGCUCCGGCAUCUGGGUCCUGUUAAUCAGAAACCCCACAGAAGACCCAGAGAGCGUUUUCUGUGUUCUUACCUUAAUGGGCUACAACACCAGAGGUUCUUUUGGCAAAUACCUAAAACAUGGAACUUCGGUUUGGAGCAAACUUUCGCUUUGGGCAAAGAGGCUGAAGAUGGGUUUCUCUCGAGUACAAAUGAAGAUACUGAUGAAAUGUUUGAUGACUUGUUCAAAAAAUACGGAAAGGUGGUGUUUAAGAGAAAUGACAUGAAGCUUCCUACGGAUGAAGUAGAUGAUGACGCUGAAAGCUUAUCAUUUGCUGUAGAAUUAGCUAGGGUUGCAAGUGACGUGAAGGCUGCUGAUAUAAAGGUCCUAUUUGUCAAACCUCUUGUGUAUUGGACUCGAUUUUUUAUCAUUGCCACAGCAUUUUCACGCCCUCAGAUUGAUGCUAUCCGCUCUAAAAUACGACAUCUAGCUGAGACGAAGUAUGGAAGAAUUCCAAAUGGAGACACAAAACCCAACUCCUGGACCUUGUUGGACUUUGAUAUGGUCAAGGAUCAAUGUCAUGCCAGUAUGUUGUAUUGUGCAUGUAUGCCUGCAUUCAAUGUGGUUGAGUAGCUUGAAGGAUUUUUUUAAAAAUAUUUUCUAGAUGCAUUAAUUUAGGAAUUUGGGCUUUUCUUUGCGAGAUUUUAAUUUACUAUUUAUCAGAAAUCAUGAAUAUUGAAUGCGUAAGAAAGAUGUUACAUUGUAAGGAUGCCAUCUCUACAUCAAGCCCAUCUAUUGAUGUCAAUAACUUAAUUCAAUUCUUCUGUGUAUUUGUUUUCCUUUUUCAAUAAUUCUAUUUUCAAACAUGUGUUAUCCUUUUCUCUUGGUCAGUUAGGUCAUGAAGACCAUGCAAAUAUAAUGAUUCUCCUACUGCAUCUAGAAUCUUCUCUUUGUUAUUAAAUUUUGGUCUUUAUAAUCUGUGCCGAUGGGCCUUAUAGAAUUGGAUGGAUUUUCAAAUAUAGCACUGAUUACAAACUUUGCCGCAGUUUUAAUUAUUAAUUCUUUGUAAUCUGAGCUUCUGAAGUUUAGCCCUGUA
Molecule: RNA transcript, 1194 nt
Organism: Tripterygium wilfordii
Lineage: Eukaryota; Viridiplantae; Streptophyta; Magnoliopsida; Celastrales; Celastraceae
Gene name: protein Iojap, chloroplastic
Exons: 6
Source: RefSeq, a predicted model, not a curated record